GAUGAACGCUGGCGGCGUGCCUAAUACAUGCAAGUCGAGCGAACAGAUGAGGAGCUUGCUCCUCUGACGUUAGCGGCGGACGGGUGAGUAACACGUGGAUAACCUACCUAUAAGACUGGGAUAACUUCGGGAAACCGGAGCUAAUACCGGAUAAUAUAUUGAACCGCAUGGUUCAAUAGUGAAAGACGGUUUUGCUGUCACUUAUAGAUGGAUCCGCGCCGCAUUAGCUAGUUGGUAAGGUAACGGCUUACCAAGGCAACGAUGCGUAGCCGACCUGAGAGAGGGGUAGCCCACCCUGGAAGGGGAACGCGGUCAAGACGCCUGCGGGAGGGAGCAGAAGGGAAUCUGAGGCAGUGGGGGAAAGCCUGACGGAACAAGGCGGAGUGAGUGAUAAAGGUGUUGGGUUCGAAAACCUGUGUUAUGGGGGAAAAACAAAUGUGUAAGGAACUGUGCAGGUCGUGACGGUACCUAAUCAAAAAGCCACGGCUAACUACGUG
This 497-nucleotide ribosomal RNA is filed under the name uncultured bacterium. RNAcentral's name for it is "partial 16S ribosomal RNA". It matches the Rfam family "Bacterial small subunit ribosomal RNA", at positions 28 to 507 of the family's 1533-position model. The record is from RNAcentral.